CGUGGCUUCCGGAGCUAACGCGUUAAGUCGACCGCCCUGGGAGUACGGCCGCAAGGUUAAAACUCAAAUGAAUGACGGGGGCCCGCACAAGCGGUGGAGCAUGUGGUUUAAUUCGAUGCAACGCGAAGAACCUUACCUGGCCUUGACAUCCACGGAAUUUGGCAGAGAUGCCUUAGUGCCUUCGGGAACCGUGAGACAGGUGCUGCAUGGCUGUCGUCAGCUCGUGUUGUGAAAUGUUGGGUUAAGUCCCGCAACGAGCGCAACCCUUAUCCUUUGUUGCCAGCGAUACGGUCGGGAACUCAAAGGAGACUGCCGGUGAUAAACCGGAGGAAGGUGGGGAUGACGUCAAGUCAUCAUGGCCCUUACGGCCAGGGCUACACACGUGCUACAAUGGCGCAUACAAAGAGAAGCGACCUCGCGAGAGCAAGCGGACCUCAUAAAGUGCGUCGUAGUCCGGAUCGGAGUCUGCAACUCGACUCCGUGAAGUCGGAAUCGCUAGUAAUCGUAGAUCAGAAUGCUACGGUGAAUACGUUCCCGGGCCUUGUACACACCGCCCGUCACACCAUGGGAGUGGGUUGCAAAAGAAGUAGGUAGCUUAACCUUCGGGAGGGCGCUUACCACUUUGUGAUUCAUGACUGGGGUGAAGUCGUAACAAGGUAACCAAGGGCGAAUUCCAG
RNAcentral lists this ribosomal RNA (677 nucleotides) under uncultured Erwinia sp. RNAcentral describes it as "bacterial SSU rRNA". It matches the Rfam family "Bacterial small subunit ribosomal RNA", at positions 838 to 1516 of the family's 1533-position model. The record is from RNAcentral. Lineage: Bacteria; Pseudomonadati; Pseudomonadota; Gammaproteobacteria; Enterobacterales; Erwiniaceae.